RNAcentral lists this ribosomal RNA (494 nucleotides) under uncultured bacterium. Its description in RNAcentral is "partial 16S ribosomal RNA". It matches the Rfam family "Bacterial small subunit ribosomal RNA", at positions 28 to 507 of the family's 1533-position model. The record is from RNAcentral.
GACGAACGCUGGCGGCGCGCUUAACACAUGCAAGUCGAACGGAAAGGCCUGCUUUCCCUUGUGGAUUGCGGGUACUCGAGUGGCGAACGGGUGAGUAACACGUGAGUGAUCUGCCCCCAACUUGGGUAUAAGCCUGGGAAACUGGGUCUAAUUCCCGAUAGGACUGCAGGGUGGUGCCUGUGGUGGAAAACGAUUUUCUAGUGGUUGGGGAUGAGCUCGCGGCCUAUCAGCUUGUUGGUGGGGUAAUGGCCUACCAAGGCGGCGACGGGUAGCCGGCCUGAGAGGGGGGACGGGCACAUUGGGACUGAGAUGCGGCCCAGACUCAUACGGGAGGCAGCAGUGGGGAAUAUUGCACAAUGGGCGGAAGCCUGAUGCAGCGACGCCGCGUGGGGGAUGACGGCCUUCGGGUUGUAAACUCCUUUCGACCGCGAGGAAGCCACCUGGUUGGAAGGGUGGUGACGGUAGUGGUAGAAGAAGCACCGGCUAACUACGUG